RNAcentral lists this ribosomal RNA (495 nucleotides) under uncultured bacterium. Its description in RNAcentral is "partial 16S ribosomal RNA". It matches the Rfam family "Bacterial small subunit ribosomal RNA", at positions 28 to 507 of the family's 1533-position model. The record is from RNAcentral.
GACGAACGCUGGCGGCGUGCCUAAUACAUGCAAGUAGAACGCUGAAGGAGGAGCUUGCUUCUCUGGAUGAGUUGCGAACGGGUGAGUAACGCGUAGGUAACCUGCCUGGUAGCGGGGGAUAACUGUUGGAAACGAUAGCUAAUACCGCAUAAGAGUAGAUGUUGCAUGACAUUUGCUUAAAAGGUGCAAUUGCAUCACUACCAGAUGGACCUGCGUUGUAUUAGCUAGUUGGUGAGGUAACGGCUCACCAAGGCAACGAUACAUAGCCGACCUGAGAGGGUGAUCGGCCACACUGGGACUGCGACACGGCCCAGACUCCUUCGGGAGGCAGCAGUAGGGAAUCUUCGGCAAUGGACGGAAGUCUGACCGAGCAACGCCGCGUGAGUGAAGAAGGUUUUCGGAUCGUAAAGCUCUGUUGUAAGAGAAGAACGAGUGUGAGAGUGGAAAGUUCACACUGUGACGGUAUCUUACCAGAAAGGGACGGCUAACUACGUG